This 1373-nucleotide ribosomal RNA is filed under the name uncultured bacterium. Its description in RNAcentral is "bacterial SSU rRNA". It matches the Rfam family "Bacterial small subunit ribosomal RNA", at positions 28 to 1381 of the family's 1533-position model. The record is from RNAcentral.
GAUGAACGCUGGCGGCGUGCCUAAUACAUGCAAGUCGAGCGAACGGACGAGAAGCUUGCUUCUCUGAUGUUAGCGGCGGACGGGUGAUUAACACGUGGAUAACCUACCUAUAAGACUGGGAUAACUUCGGGAAACCGGAGCUAAUACCGGAUAAUAUUUUGAACCGCAUGGUUCAAAAGUGAAAGACGGUCUUGCUGUCACUUAUAGAUGGAUCCGCGCUGCAUUAGCUAGUUGGUAAGGUAACGGCUUACCAAGGCAACGAUGCAUAGCCGACCUGAGAGGGUGAUCGGCCACACUGGAACUGAGACACGGUCCAGACUCCUACGGGAGGCAGCAGUAGGGAAUCUUCCGCAAUGGGCGAAAGCCUGACGGAGCAACGCCGCGUGAGUGAUGAAGGUCUUCGGAUCGUAAAACUCUGUUAUUAGGGAAGAACAUAUGUGUAAGUAACUGUGCACAUCUUGACGGUACCUAAUCAGAAAGCCACGGCUAACUACGUGCCAGCAGCCGCGGUAAUACGUAGGUAGCAAGCGUUAUCCGGAAUUAUUGGGCGUAAAGCGCGCGUAGGCGGUUUUUUAAGUCUGAUGUGAAAGCCCACGGCUCAACCGUGGAGGGUCAUUGGAAACUGGAAAACUUGAGUGCAGAAGAGGAAAGUGGAAUUCCAUGUGUAGCGGUGAAAUGCGCAGAGAUAUGGAGGAACACCAGUGGCGAAGGCGACUUUCUGGUCUGUAACUGACGCUGAUGUGCGAAAGCGUGGGGAUCAAACAGGAUUAGAUACCCUGGUAGUCCACGCCGUAAACGAUGAGUGCUAAGUGUUAGGGGGUUUCCGCCCCUUAGUGCUGCAGCUAACGCAUUAAGCACUCCGCCUGGGGAGUACGACCGCAAGGUUGAAACUCAAAGGAAUUGACGGGGACCCGCACAAGCGGUGGAGCAUGUGGUUUAAUUCGAAGCAACGCGAAGAACCUUACCAAAUCUUGACAUCCUUUGACAACUCUAGAGAUAGAGCCUUCCCCUUCGGGGGGGCAAAGUGACAGGUGGUGCAUGGUUGUCGUCAGCUCGUGUCGUGAGAUGUUGGGUUAAGUCCCGCAACGAGCGCAACCCUUAAGCUUAGUUGCCAUCAUUAAGUUGGGCACUCUAAGUUGACUGCCGGUGACAAACCGGAGGAAGGUGGGGAUGACGUCAAAUCAUCAUGCCCCUUAUGAUUUGGGCUACACACGUGCUACAAUGGACAAUACAAAGGGCAGCGAAACCGCGAGGUCAAGCAAAUCCCAUAAAGUUGUUCUCAGUUCGGAUUGUAGUCUGCAACUCGACUACAUGAAGCUGGAAUCGCUAGUAAUCGUAGAUCAGCAUGCUACGGUGAAUACGUUCCCGGGUCU